RNAcentral lists this small RNA (118 nucleotides) under Marmota monax (woodchuck). Lineage: Eukaryota; Metazoa; Chordata; Mammalia; Rodentia; Sciuridae. The record is from RNAcentral.
GCUGGGUAUAGUGGCACAUGCCUGUGGUCCCAGCUACGCCAGAGGCUAAGGCAGGAGGACCACUUGAGCCCAGGAGUUUGGGGCAAGCCUGGACAACAUAGAGAGACCCCCAUCUUAA